This 440-nucleotide ribosomal RNA is filed under the name uncultured bacterium. Its description in RNAcentral is "partial 16S ribosomal RNA". It matches the Rfam family "Bacterial small subunit ribosomal RNA", at positions 338 to 795 of the family's 1533-position model. The record is from RNAcentral.
CCUACGGGAGGCAGCAGUAGGGAAUAUUGCUCAAUGGGGGAAACCCUGAAGCAGCAACGCCGCGUGGAGGAAGAAGGUUUUCGGAUUGUAAACUUCUUUCGUUAGAGAAGAAUGUGACUAUAUGUAACGAAUAAGCACCGGCUAAAUCCGUGCCAGAAGCCGCGGUAAUACGGAGGGUGCAAGCCUUAGUCGGAAUUACUGGGGGUAAAGUGUGCGGAGGCGGGGAAAAAAGACAGGAGUGAAAGCCCGUAGCUUAACUACAGGAAUGCAUUUGAAACUGUUCAGCUGGAGUGCAGGAGAGGUAGGUGGAAUUCCUGGUGUAGCGGUAAAAUGCGUAGAGAUGAGGAGGAAUACUAGUGGCGAAGGCGGCCAACUGGAACGUUACGGACGCUGAUGCACGAAAGCGUGGGGAGCAAACAGGAUUAGAUACCCGAGUAGUC